This 772-nucleotide long non-coding RNA is filed under the name Macaca mulatta (Rhesus monkey). RNAcentral describes it as "lncRNA (ENSMMUG00000055436.1)". Lineage: Eukaryota; Metazoa; Chordata; Mammalia; Primates; Cercopithecidae. The record is from RNAcentral.
AAAAUAACAAAGAACUGUGCAUAUGAGAAUGGUUAGAGCAGCCUUUUCAUCCUACUGAUAUCAAUACAAAUAAAGAGAUAUUUUGCCGCAACCGGUCCUGGCUUCAAAAAGAGCCAUAAAUGCCUGGUGGUUUUUUUUUUUUUUUUUUAAUCAUUUCUGACUUUUGGUUUUCAGAGCAUUUGAUCUCUCUUCCUUCUGUCUCUGGCAUCCUCUAUCACAAGCAUGAAGUGGAGAUUCAUGGAGCCCUCAGGCUAGUUCUUUGGUUUUCAGGGCCUCUGCUCCUGUGGUCACCUCUGCUCCUGAGGACUCAAGCUGAUGGAAGCCUUGACAUGUGCUCCCACCAUCUCCCUGGCAAGUGAACAAGGUGUGAUGACUCAUGGCUUGGCUCUCUAAAGUUCAACCUUCUAUAGGCAAACCGUCGGCCACAGACAGUUAUAUGGCCACCCUAAUUUCAAAAGAGAGAAGUACAGUCCCCCCGUGUGCUCACAGAGGCGAGAACUGUAAGUAUUUGUGAAGAGCCCUAGUGCCUACCAGCCCUUCCUUAAUCCUCCUUCACUUGGUACGAUGGCAGGACCCUCAGGGAGAAGUACUGCCUCUGAUGUCCCUUUCGGGUGGUCUGCCUGCCUUAUCUCUCUAAAAAUACUCCUGCCAUCUUAGACAGCAAAUGGGUAAUACAAAAUAAGAAGGUCUAUUUAUUACUUUUAGAAAACAAAAGGAAGAAGUAUGUAGUUGAGCAAAGGUUGAAUAAAAAUUGCAAAUUUUGUGUUUAGAG